UACGGGGGGGGCAAGCGUUGUUCGGAAUUACUGGGCGUAAAGGGCUCGUAGGUGGCCAACUAAGUCAGACGUGAAAUCCCUCGGCUUAACCGGGGAACUGCGUCUGAUACUGGAUGGCUUGAGUUCGGGAGAGGGAUGCGGAAUUCCAGGUGUAGCGGUGAAAUGCGCAGAUAUCAGGAGGAACACCGAUGGCGAAGGCAGUUCUCUGGGCCGUAACUGACGCUGAGGAGCGAAAGCGUGGGGAGCGAACAGG
Molecule: ribosomal RNA, 253 nt
Filed under: uncultured bacterium
Lineage: Bacteria
Description: partial 16S ribosomal RNA
Rfam family: Bacterial small subunit ribosomal RNA
Source: RNAcentral